UUGGUGCAUUUUGUCCAUUUACACUUAAGGUAAUUAUUGAUAGGUAAGUGCUUAUUGCCAUUUUAUUGUGUGUGUUUUUUUUUGUAAUUCCUCUGUUCCUUUCUUACUCUGUAAUGUUCUUCUGUGAUUUGAUGGUUUUCUUUAGUGUUAUUCUUGGAUUACUUAAUUUUUUGUGUAUCUGUUAUAGGCUUUAAGUUUGUAGUUUCCAUAGGGUCCAUAGUUUCCUAAAUAUAUAAAAGUCUAUAUUAACUUGAUAGCUGCUCAAUUUCAAACAGAGUCAAAAAGUAUGGAUUUUUAAUUUUCUUUUUCCUCCAUACUUUAUGUAUGUCAUAAUCUACAUCUUUUGUGUACCCCUUGACUAAUUUUGGGCAUUGUUGAUCUUACUAUAUUUUUAACUUCAUACUUGGUUAGUAAAUAAUUGGUCUACCUUUACUGUAGGUUUAUUUUCAGUGAUGAAAAAUAUUUAAGCUUAAGAACAUUUCAGUCUACAGAGGACCCUUUAACAUAACCUGUAAGGCUUAUUUAGUGGUGGCAAGUUCUUUUAAAUUUCAUUUAUCUGGGAAAAUUUUAAUCUCCCCUUCAAUUCUGAAUGGUAAACUUGCUAGGUAGAGAAUUCCUGGUUGUAGGUUCUUCCCUUUAAUAUAUUAAGUAUUUCAUUCCACCCCCUUCUGGCCUGUGAAGUUUCUGCUGAGAAAUCUGCUAAUAACCAUGUGAACUUUCCCUUAUAGGGGUUUUCUGUGCUUCCAGGACCUGGAUGUCUAUUCCCUAGAUUGGGGAGAUUUUCAGAUAUUACUACUUCACAAACAACUAUUUAACUUAGAGUUUGCUCCACAAGAACUUAAUAGAAAUGCCAAGAAAUGCAAUAAAGAAGAAAAGGCUGAAACGAUAAAGACUAAAAAGGUAACCAAGUCCAUGGCAGGUGUAAUUAAGUCUAUGGAUGCUACACUGAGGAGUAUGAACCUUGAAAAGAUUCUGCCCUGGUGGACAAAUUUGAAACACUGUAUGUUCAAAUACAACAAAUGGAAGACACAAUGAGUACCACUACAACCCUAACACCAUCACAAAUCCAGGUGGAUAUGCUGCUUCAAGAAAUGGCAGAUAAGCAGGGAUCUUCUAGAAGAACACUGCUAUCAUCAGGUCAUUAAGUCUAAAGCCCACUUUAAGUCAUACAAACUGAGCAGUAUGUGCAAAAUGUCUUAAGGGGUUGAAAAGAUGACAUUAUUGAAGAUGGUCAUUUGUUUUAUAAAGGCUGGAGGCACCAGGGGAAGGGGUGAGCCUGCUGGACAAGCUCAGGCCUCACCAAACAAAGUGAAGAGACCAACAGGUUCCGGUCUGACAACAUUCCAGAAACUGAUCAGAUAACAUUCCUAAUAGAGCCCUCCCCAGGCUAGAAGAAUAGUGGUAACUGUCCAAUACCUGGCUUAAAGCCAAUGAGAAACCCCCUCAUACCCUAGGCGAGCCAAUCCUCAUGUCACUGUAUACCUUUGCUCUCCCUCCCCCUUCCUUCUUUAAAAACUUGCUGCCUGUCCUGCUGGGUGUGACUUCCCCAGCCUCCAUUUCUGUAGACUGGGAAACCUCACCCAGGAACUGCACUCAAAUAAACUACCUGGCCCUUUGUUGCCUCUGGUUGCCUGCUUAUUUUAGCUAGAAUUUAUCUUACAUUUGGUGCCAAAAUCCCGGGAAAGAGCAUGAGCAUAGGGCCCUGACCGGCCACCGGUGGCCCUGCCCCCUCCUUCCCCGACCCAGGACCUCAGCCUUCUCUCCGCUGCGUGGACUA
Molecule: long non-coding RNA, 1777 nt
Organism: Manis pentadactyla (Chinese pangolin)
Lineage: Eukaryota; Metazoa; Chordata; Mammalia; Pholidota; Manidae
Exons: 8
Source: RefSeq, a predicted model, not a curated record